AGGGCUUGGGGGAAACGCAGGUUGUCGGGGAAGGCCUGGCGUCCAGCCGGGCCAGCGAGAGGAAAGCGAGGCCCGACCGCGUCGACUUCCGAGAAGGCAGGUCGCUCCAGGAAGGGACGCUGGACGGUUUUCGUCUUUGUGUGAUUUGUGUGGGAAGCCCUCUCGGCGCGGCGGGUCUGGAGCGGCGGCGGCGGCGCGCGGGCGGCUCUGGGGGCGGUUUGGAGCGGGACCGACGGCGGACUCGGACAGGGACUGGCGUCUGGGCGGUGACAUCUAGGCCCUGACCGUGCCCAGUUGUCCGGAUCGCUCAGGUGUCCGGGUGGCAACGCCGGCUCCCGUGGGGUGGGCACCUCCUACGCCCUGGAACUUGGUGCUUGCGGUCCGGAAGUUCUCCGGAUGCUGUACAGUGGGGAUUACUCCGGUUUGGCAGAGGAGGCUACUGUCCCUCUGGAAGAUGUGACUCGGCUUCGUUCCAGAAAGAUAGGUACUCCAUAUUGACAAGUGCCUUGAGCAUUGUUUUGGGCUCGUUUUCUCCCUAUUGAGCUAAGCUUUCCUCGCAUAGCCCAAACGUCGUAAUAAUGGUGAAUAAUGAAUAAAAGUAAUAAGCCAUGACUGUCAUUUACUGUGCACGAGACCUGAGGCAGAUACUCAUGAUUAUCCGCAGAAACAGCCUUGAGAAUGACGGAAUCAUUUGUCCAAUGUCAUUUAGGCUGUAAGUGGUGGAGCCAGGAUUCAUUCCCCACCAGGCUGCCAAAGCAAUUCGUAUCAAAUUCUGCCGUAUUGCACUUCCCGUAUUGCAUCAUAAUUUCGGGUUAAAAACUGGCUUUCAUGUCCAAAUCGAAGGUAAGAAUUGGGACCCGUUAGUCUCUGUCCUUAUUGCUUAGCACAAGGCCUGGGGCGCUGUAAAUACUCCAGUUGAGUGUCUUUUUUUUUUUUUUUUUUUAAGAUUUUAUUUAUUUAUUUGAGAGAGAGAAUGAGAGAGAGAGAGCAUGAGAGGGGGAGAGUCAGAGGGAGAAGCAGACUCCCUGCUGAGCAGGGAGCCCGAUGCGGGACUCGAUCCCGGGACUCCAGGAUCAUGACCUGAGCCGAAGGCAGUCGCUUAACCAACUGAGCCACCCAGGCGCCCUAUUUUAUUUAUUUUUUUAACGUAGGCUCCACACCCAGUGUGGAGCCCAGUGCGGGGCUUGAACUCAUGACCCUGAGAUCAAGACCUGAGCUGAGAACAAGAGUCAGACGUCUUGGGCUCCUGGGUGGCUCAGUCAGUUAAAGCCUCUGCCUUUGGCUCAGAUGGUGAUCCUGAGGUCCUGGGAUCGAGCAGGGAGUCUGUUUCUCCCUCUCCCUCUGCCCCUCCCCCCUGCUUGUGCGCUCUCUCUCCAAUAGAUAAAUAAAAUCUUUAAAAAAAAUAAGAGAUGCUUAACCAACUGAGCCACCCAGGCGCCCCUCCAGUUGAGUGUCUUUAAUGAACAGUGAGGAUCCAUGUUUCCAGAACAGUUUGGGUCCGCUGUGAGGAACUGGGUUGCUUUCACCAGAGGACGUUUCAGAACCCCAUUGGCUCUUUUCCUUCCAUCACCAGUUAAAUUCUCUAUGUAUUUUAGGUUGAAGACCUCGUCUUCCAGGCGAUUGAUUGGUCACUCAUUCAGGUAAACAUGGGCUCCAAAAUCUAUAUCGCAAGUGAUCGUGUUCCGUUUUUUUUAUCCUUACCUUUCAGUUUUCUUUCCCCAGUUACGGGUAUUUACUGGGGAAGACGGUAUUGCUGUUAUAUUCAUUUUUCUUGUGUAAGGACUGUGCGUCAUCUUCCCAACCUGAGUGGUCAGCUCCUUGAGAACGAGGUGCCUGCCGCCUAAUGCCUGGUUCCUUCCCUUGCACACUUUAGACGCGGGGUUCGUGUCUGCCAAGUGCUCAUCCCAGUUCUGCAGCCAGGCUAGUGAGCGCGAAGCAGUGGGCACAAUUUACAAUUGUCUUCUGUGAACUGGACGGGAACACUUGAUUUCUCAUUCUGUUUAACUUACUGCCAGUUGAGCAGGAACCACAAAUGACUCAAAUUCUGAAGCAGUUUGUUCUCCUGGUGGUAGUUCCUAAAGUCUCCAGGUUCAGAAGUUACUCAGUGGUUUUCUUUUCCCCUUUUGUAUGAUUUGGGGGCGGGGGGAUGCUUGAAGUUGACUCUCCUUCCCUUUUCCUUUGAACUAAAAGAGCUGUCUUGCAUGUUUCGAAAAUCACUGUUCACAGAUCCUUUAUUUCUCUGGAGGAGAAGAUGUAAAUUUUCUUGAAACAUAAACUCUUCUGGAAAUGUCUUUUUCUUGGUUUUCCCUUGGAAUGUUUUCCAUGUGGCAAUAUUAAUAUUUUCCUUAUAGUCGGCUAUCACAUACACACACCCCCUUCCACCACAUACACAGCUUAAAAACAAAAUAUUUUCAAUAAAUACAGAAAACAGUAUAUAAUUAUUAUUAUUAUUUUUUAAGAUUUUAUUUAUUUAUUUUUUAGAGAGCGAGCGAGAGAGAAACAGCAUGAGAGGGGAGAGGGUCAGAGGGAGAAGCAGGCUCCCCGCUGAGCCGGGAGCCCGAUGUGGGACUCGAUCCCAGGACCCUGGGAUCAUGACCUGAGCCGAAGGCAGACGCUUAACCAUCUGAGCCACCCAGGCACCCAGUAUGUAAUUCUUAACCCUUUUGUGGUUCUUUUCCCAAAAUCCCAUUCUACAGGAGGCUUGUUGGUGCACCCAGGACUCUGUGUUCACUGAUGCACUUGGAAUGCCAGGAGAAUCAGAGAAGGAGGUGACCUUUGGGGCAGAACUGCAUAACAGGGCUUGUCUGGUUUUUUUUUUUUUUUUUAAUAACAGGGCUUUUUUAUACUGUGCCUUCUGUGCCUUGUUUGAGUUGGUCCCAGAGAGAGCUCAGAGCUUAAAAACUCCAGCCAUUCCUAUAGAGCCACACAACAGCCACAUUGGGGGACCCCCAGGUAUGUUGGGGAAACCACAGGAACAAGGAACAAACCAAAGGAAACGUCAAGGACAACCCAAAGUGAAUUCCUCCUCUUCUCUCCUAACAAAUCUGCGAAAUCCCAGGAAGUGGAAUCUGCACCUAGGCUAAGCCCCCUGACUCUCACCUCACGAGGGCAAUUAGUUAUACAAAAGAGGAAGGACAUGGAAAGGAGACAAAACAGAAAACAAAAUCCUUGGGAUGCCUGGGUGGCUCAGUCAUUAAGCAUCUGCCUUUGGCUCGGGUCAUGAUCCCGGGGUCAUGGGAUUGAGCCCCAUGUCGAGUUCCCUGCUCAGCUGGGAGCCUUUUUCUCCCUCUGUCUGCUGCUCCCCCUGCUUGUGCUCUCUCUCUCUCUCACUAUCAUAUAAAUCAAUCAAUCAAUCAAUCAAUCAAUCUUAAAAAUCCUUGGGGCACCUGGGUAGCUAACUCAGUUAAGCCUCUGACUCUUGAUUUCAGCUCAGGUCAUGAUCUCAGGGUCGUGAGAUUGAUGUCUGUGUCGGGCUCCGUGCUGACCAUCGAAUCUGCUUGAGAUUCCCUCUGCCCCUCUCCCUGCUCUCUCUCCCUCUCUUAAAAAAAAAAAAGUCUUUUACCAAAAGCCAGAGCAUUCCCAUCAAAUUAUCAGAUGGGACAGGGAACAAAUCUUGGUUAGAAUGACACCUUGACUUUGACCACUAGAGUGCAGCCCAUUUCUCAAGUCACAGUGCAGGUUGUGGAGUUGAAAAUGGGGUGGCCUCUGGAGACGAGGAGUACCAGAGACACCUGCUUUCCACCCACUGGUAGCCUCCACUGGCCCGGAAUAGCAAACCUACUUGCUGCUGUUUGCCCUGCUUACACUGAAGUUUUAAAAAUUCAUGUGUUGUUUUCCAGUGGGUUUCUUGAUGAAUUAUAGCUGUUUUUUUUUUUUUAAGUGGUGAUACUACCACUGAAAUAAUUGUUUGCUCUCAGACGCUGCCAUGUUCCAUCACCCUUAGAAUUUUUCUGACAUUCUCAUUAACAUUUUCAAUAUUAAAAGGCUUAUUAUGUAGUGAAAAAGCAUGUAUCCGAAAACAUACCUACAGUAUAAGGAUUUGUUAUUUGGGUAACAUUUGUCCUCAGGAAUUGCUGAUUACAUUUGCGGAAUUUGGAAUCUGGUAGAAAUCAUAGAGCCUGACUGUGGGUUUCCAUCUUUAACAAAUAUUGACUGAGUGCCUGCAACCACCGUGAUGGGCACGGGAUGCAUGGACAGGGCAAGCUUCCACCCUCAAGGAGCUUAAAUUGUAGGGAGGCAAACAGACACCAAGCAGCCAGUCAUAUAUUUAAUUAUAACCAUGGUUAAGUGUUAGAAUGAAUGCCUGUUAGGAUAGCAUUGAUAAGGUACCAUCCCACCUGAGAGGUCGGGAAGGGCUUUGCUGGGGAGGGAGCAUUUGACCUGAGAUCUGAACCUGAAUCUGAGAGCUGGGUGCCCGUUGGCUUUGCCUGGAAGGUGCCCCCCCCAAUGCCCUCCCUGUCUUCCAUUGCUCUCUCUCCCUCAAGAACCUGUUUAUUUCUGUAUUGUCCUUACUCACAACUAUCUGGAUUUAUUGCCUUGCUUAUUGUUUGUUUCCCCCCAGAAUAGCAGCUCUUUGAGAACAGGAGCUCCCUCGGGCACCUGGGUGGCUCAAUUGGUUAAGUGACUGCCUUCGGCUCAGGUCAUGAUCCCAGAGUCCCGGGAUCGAGUCCCACAUCGGGCUCCCUGCUCGGUGGGGAGUCUGCUUCUCCCUCUAACCCUACCCCCUCUUGCACGUGCUCUCUCACUCUCUCUCUCUCUCUCAAAUAAAUAAAUAAAAUCUUUAAAAGAAAAAAAAAAAAGAACAGGAGCGCCCUCCAUCCUGGUCACGCCUGCAUCCCUGUGGCCUGACAAGGCCUGACAAACAUGAUGAGCACACAGUGGCUGGAGGAUCCAGGGUGAGUGCGAAUCAGGGUUGGAAAGGAAGGAGGCCUGUGGGGUUGGAAAGGAAGCAGACUGCAGGAUAUAGGUAAAAGCAACAAGGCCCAGUUUUUCUUUUGUUUAAAGAUUUAUUUAUUUUAGAGAGCGAGAAAGAGAAUGCGAGCAGGGGGAAGGGCAGAGGGAGAGAGAGAGAGAUGCCUCAAGCAGACUCCCUGCUGAGCAUGGAGCCCAACACGGACCUCAAUUCCAGGACCCUGAGAUCAUGACCUGAGCCGAAACCAAGAGUCGAGUGCUCAACCAACUGAGCCACGCAAGCGCCCCAACAAGGCCUAGUUUAUGUUUCAGGUCUCCGGUUGCCAUGUGAAAGACACAGCCAGAGAGAGAACACAAGCAGGGGGAGAGGCAGAGGGAGAAGCAGGCUCCCCGCGGAGCAGGGAGCCCGAUGCGGGGCUCGAUCCCAGGACCCUGGGAUCAUAACCUGAGCCGAAGGCAGAUGCUCAACAACUGAGCCACCCAGGCGCCUGAUAAAUGUUUUUUGAAUAAAUGAAUAAUCCCAGGGAGUUUCAGAAAUACAGACAUGAUGAGGCAUCCCAGAGAAGGCAGCCCCUUUGACAAUGACAGUCCUCACUGUGGAGCCAGGAUGCGACUCUCGUGUGGAAAGUCCACAAGGGACCAGCCCCGUGUGAGCACUCUUCUGACCACAGCAGCUCAUGCAAAGUGAGUUUGACGGGAGCUUCAUGGUCCGAGCAUCCUGGCAGGUGUACAGGUUCCCCCAAGCUGCAGGCGACACCUGGAGACCUGAUGGGAUGGCCCAGGCCCCCCAGGGAGAUGCCCUGUGAGCUAGGUCUUCAAAGGAAAUCCGCCACACCUGAGCAAACGUGUCCAGAGAGGACUCUUGAUUUUUUUUUUCAAAGAUUUUAUUUAUUCAUUUGAGACACAGAGAUAGAGAGAGAGCAUGAGCAGGGGGAGAGGCAGAGGGAGAGGGAGAAGCAGGCUCUCUGCUGAGCCAGGAGCCCGAUAUGGGGCUCGAUCUCACAACCCUGGGAUCAUGACCUGAGCCGAAGGCAGACGCUUAACCAUCUGAGCCACCCAGGCAUCCCAGGACUCUUGAUUUUUAAAUGUUUACACCCCUCAGCAGGAAAGCUCCAGUCUGAUCCCCUGGACUUUGAGGGGCGGGGGCAGAUAUCUAUACCUGACCCUGAGAUGCAUCUUUUUUUUUUUUUUAACAUUUUUUAUUUAUUUGACAGAGAGCGCGAGAGAGCACGAGCAGGGGUUAACAGUAGAGGGAGAGGGGCGCCUGGGUGGCUCAGUUGGUUAAGCGACUGCCUUCAGCUCAGGUCAUGAUCCCGGGGUCCUGGGAUCGAGUCCUGCAUCGGGCUCCCUGCUCUGCGGGGAGCCUGCUUCUCCCUCUCCCACUCCCCCUGCUUGUGUUCCUUCUCUCGCUGUGUCUCUCUGUCAAAUAAAUAAAUAAAAUCUUUAAAAAAAAAAAAAACAAACAGUAGAGGGAGAGGGAGAAACAGGCUCCCCACCAAGCAGGGAGCCCGAUGUGGGGCUUGAUCCCAGGACCCUGAGAUCAUGACCUGAACCGAAGGCAGACACUUAACCAUCUGAGCCACCCAGGUGCCCCUGACAUGCAUCUUUUAAAAGACCUUGACUUGGGGUGCCUGGGUGGCUCAGAUGGUUAAGCAUCUGCCUUCGGUUCAGGUCAUGGUCCCAGGGUCCUGGGAUCGAGCCCCGCAUCGAGCCCCGCAUCAAGCCCCGCAUCAGGCUCCCUGCUCCACGGGAAGCCUGCUUCUCCCUCUCCCACUCCCCCUGCUUGUGUUCCCUCUCUCGCUGUGUCUCUCUCUGUCAAAUAAAUAAAAUCUUUAAAAAAAAAAGACCUUGACUUUUCCUCCCAAGGUGGCAUUUUAGGGUGCAUAAGCCUGGUGAUUUCAAGGAGAGCCUGCCUGCUGUAAGCAAAUUUGGAAUAGCAAUGCUCUAAUAACACCUCAGAGGACAGGUUGUUCUAUGGAAGUACACGUUCUGGUUAAGGGCCUUCUGUAUGCAAAGUUUUUUGUUUUAACUGUUUUGUUAAAUUUUAACAAUUGGGAAACUUUGAAAGCCGCUUCCACACCCUUCCUUGCCUUCUUGGGGAAAAACAAAAGGUACAGAAUUUUUCCUAGCGCUUUGGGGCCGUAGGAUCUGUGUGCUGCGAUGUGGGCUUGAUCCCCGGGCUACGAGCAGCACCAAUGGACUGUUGGCCCCACACUGUGGAGCCUGGACCGCUAGGCUGUCUGGAUUCCUUACUUCUAAUUUUGUUCCAGUUGUUUAUUCAUCCAAGCUGGCCCUUUUUCCUGUUCUCGGUCAGCAUGUCCACCCUGGCCUUCCUGUGGCUGUUUCUUCAUCUCUGAGGGACGGGGGGACCAGAGCACCCAGCUCAUUCCAGUUCUGUCCAGUUUUCCCUCUGGCAGUGGCUGGUGCGAGAUAGGAGUGCCGAUUUCAAUUUUUUAAGAUUUUUUAUUAUUUUUGGGCGCCUGGGUGGCUCAGUCGUUAAGCGUCUGCCUUCGGCUCAGGUCAUGAUCCUAGGGUCCUGGGAUCGAGCCCCACAUCGGGCUCCCUGCUCCACGGGAAGCCUGCUUCUCCCU
This is a long non-coding RNA of Mirounga angustirostris (Northern elephant seal), 7502 nucleotides long. RefSeq lists it as uncharacterized. The transcript has 3 exons. The record is from RefSeq and is a predicted model, not a curated record. Lineage: Eukaryota; Metazoa; Chordata; Mammalia; Carnivora; Phocidae.